RNAcentral lists this ribosomal RNA (460 nucleotides) under uncultured bacterium. RNAcentral's name for it is "partial 16S ribosomal RNA". It matches the Rfam family "Bacterial small subunit ribosomal RNA", at positions 338 to 795 of the family's 1533-position model. The record is from RNAcentral.
CCUACGGGAGGCAGCAGUGAGGAAUAUUGGUCAAUGGGCGCGAGCCUGAACCAGCCAAGUAGCGUGAAGGAUGACUGCCCUACGGGUUGUAAACCUCUUUUAUAAAGGAAUAAAGUGAGGCACGUGUGCCUUUCUGCAUGUACUUUAUGAAUAAGGACCGGCUAACUCCGUGCCAGCAGCCGCGGUAAUACGGAGGACCCGAGCGUUAUCCGGAUUUAUCGGGGUUAAAGGGAGCGUAGAUGGGUUGUUAAGUCAGUUGUGAAAGUUUGCGGCUCAACCGCAAAAUUGCAAUUGAAACUGGCAGUCUUGAGUACAGUUGAGGUAGGCGGAAUUCGUGGUGUAGCGGUGAAAUGCUUAGAUAUCACGAAGAACUCCGAUUGCGAAGGCAGCUUGCUAAGCUGCCACUGACAUUGAUGCUCGAAAGUGUGGGUAUCAAACAGGAUUAGAUACCCUGGUAGUC